RNAcentral lists this ribosomal RNA (487 nucleotides) under Eutrombicula daemoni. RNAcentral's name for it is "SSU rRNA". It matches the Rfam family "Eukaryotic small subunit ribosomal RNA", at positions 554 to 1045 of the family's 1831-position model. Lineage: Eukaryota; Metazoa; Arthropoda; Arachnida; Trombidiformes; Trombiculidae. The record is from RNAcentral.
GGCAAGUCUGGUGCCAGCAGCCGCGGUAAUUCCAGCUCCAAUAGCGUAUAUUAAAGUUGUUGCGGUUAAAAAGCUCGUAGUUGGAUCUCAGCUCAUGCUAAGUGGUCCACCUAAUGGUGGUUACUACUUAGCUGAGCAUUUUACAGAUUUGUCUCUUGAUGCUCUUCACCGAGUGUCAAGAGUGGUCUGUACGUUUACUUUGAAAAAAUUAGAGUGCUUAAAGCAGGCAUCUCGCCCGAAUAAUCUUGCAUGGAAUAAUGGAAUAGGACCUUGGUUCUAUUUUGUUGGUCUCCGGAAUCUGAGGUAAUGAUUAAGAGGGACAGACGGGGGCAUUCGUAUUGCGCCGCUAGAGGUGAAAUUCUUGGACCGGCGCAAGACGAACUACAGCGAAAGCAUUUGCCAAGAAUGUUUUCAUUAAUCAAGAACGAAAGUUAGAGGUUCGAAGGCGAUCAGAUACCGCCCUAGUUCUAACCAUAACCAAUGCCAA